Molecule: ribosomal RNA, 305 nt
Filed under: uncultured bacterium
Lineage: Bacteria
Description: bacterial SSU rRNA
Rfam family: Bacterial small subunit ribosomal RNA
Source: RNAcentral
CCUACGGGGGGCAGCAGUGGGGGAUAUUGCACAAUGGGGGGAACCCUGAUGCAGCGACGCCGCGUGGGCGAUGGAGUGCUUCGGCAUGUAAAGCCCUAUCAGCAGGGAAGAAAAUGACGGUACCUGAGUAAGAAGCCCCGGCUAACUACGUGCCAGCAGCCGCGGUAAUACGUAGGGGGCAAGCGUUAUCCGGAUUUACUGGGUGUAAAGGGAGCGUAGACGGCCAGACAAGUCUGAAGUGAAAAUCCAGCGCUUAACGUUGGAAGUGCUUUGGAAACUGCCGGGCUAGAGUGCAGGAGGGGCAG